RNAcentral lists this ribosomal RNA (577 nucleotides) under uncultured beta proteobacterium. RNAcentral describes it as "bacterial SSU rRNA". It matches the Rfam family "Bacterial small subunit ribosomal RNA", at positions 97 to 670 of the family's 1533-position model. Lineage: Bacteria; Pseudomonadati; Pseudomonadota; Betaproteobacteria. The record is from RNAcentral.
GGCGAACGGGUGCGUAAUGCAUGGGAAUCUGCCUAGUAGUGGGGAAUAACCCGGCGAAAGCCGGGCUAAUGCCGCAUACGACCUACGGGUGAAAGCGGGGGAUCGCAAGACCUCGCGCUAUUAGAUGAGCCCAUGUCGGAUUAGCUAGUUGGUAGGGUAACGGCCUACCAAGGCGACGAUCCGUAGCUGGUCUGAGAGGACGGCCAGCCACACUGGGACUGAGACACGGCCCAGACUCCUACGGGAGGCAGCAGUGGGGAAUUUUGGACAAUGGGGGCAACCCUGAUCCAGCGACGCCGCGUGUGUGAAGAAGGCCUGCGGGUUGUAAAGCACUUUCGUUGGGAACGAAAUAUGCCGACCUAAUACGUCGGUAGGCUGACGUUACCCAAAUAAGAAGCACCGGCUAACUCUGUGCCAGCAGCCGCGGUAAUACAGAGGGUGCGAGCGUUAAUCGGAAUUACUGGGCGUAAAGCGCACGUAGGUGGCUAUGUAAGUCAGGUGUGAAAUCCCCGGGCUCAACCUGGGAACUGCACUUGGGACUGCAUGGCUAGAGUAUGGGAGAGGAAGGCGGAAUUCC